UAGAAUGAAGCUCAUGGAAAGAGCGUUUAGCUGUUAACUAAAAUGUUGUGGGAUCAAAGCCCUCCCUUCUAG
Molecule: transfer RNA, 72 nt
Filed under: Heleophryne purcelli (Cape ghost frog)
Lineage: Eukaryota; Metazoa; Chordata; Amphibia; Anura; Heleophrynidae
Description: tRNA-Asn
Rfam family: tRNA
About the family: Transfer RNA (tRNA) molecules are approximately 80 nucleotides in length.
Source: RNAcentral